Molecule: ribosomal RNA, 305 nt
Filed under: uncultured bacterium
Lineage: Bacteria
Description: bacterial SSU rRNA
Rfam family: Bacterial small subunit ribosomal RNA
Source: RNAcentral
CUUCCUACGGGAGGCAGCAGUGAGGAAUAUUGGUCAAUGGACGCAAGUCUGAACCAGCCAUGCCGCGUGCAGGAUGACGGCUCUAUGAGUUGUAAACUGCUUUUGUACGAGGGUAAACCCCGAUACGUGUAUCGGGUUGAAAGUAUCGUACGAAUAAGGAUCGGCUAACUCCGUGCCAGCAGCCGCGGUAAUACGGAGGAUCCGAGCGUUAAUCGGAAUUACUGGGCGUAAAGCGCUCGUAGGCGGUAUGUCAAGUCAAGGGUGAAAUCCCCGCGCUCAACGUGGAAACUGCCUUUGAAACUGGC